GCCGACGUAGCUCAGCUGGUAGAGUAGCGGUUUCGUAAAUCGCGGGUCGGAGGUUCGAGUCCUCUCGUCGGCU
Molecule: transfer RNA, 73 nt
Filed under: Candidatus Omnitrophota bacterium
Lineage: Bacteria; Pseudomonadati; Candidatus Omnitrophota
Description: Candidatus Omnitrophica bacterium (aquatic metagenome) tRNA-Thr
Rfam family: tRNA
About the family: Transfer RNA (tRNA) molecules are approximately 80 nucleotides in length.
Source: RNAcentral